RNAcentral lists this long non-coding RNA (5738 nucleotides) under Solanum lycopersicum (tomato). RNAcentral's name for it is "long non-coding RNA (SLYC_LNC001179)". The record is from RNAcentral. Lineage: Eukaryota; Viridiplantae; Streptophyta; Magnoliopsida; Solanales; Solanaceae.
AAAUUAUAAUGGAUACAGAAACGAUCAGACAGCGACUCAACAGCACCAAAAGCCCAACAAGAACCGCAAUGUCCCUGAAAUAUAUAGGAUUAGACCACUUGAGAGAACCUGCAAUGUGCUAUUUAGCACAUUUAAUGGAAAGAAACUAGACCAGUAGCAGAAAAUCACCUGAUCUGUGAUGCAAAUUUGUCCCGGUGAUUGAUGUGCAAAGAUAGAAAACAUCAGAAUCUCUAUUAUAGAACUAUGGCUAGAAAGGACGGACAAGGAAGUGAAAUAACUGACCUAGAAUUCUUCCAAUUGUGCUGCAUUGAGGCCAAGCCUUUCGUGCAUCAAACUCUUUUGGUAACUCCUUAAGUUUUGGAUGAGUUAGAACAGGAAUUCCCUCCAAAUCACCUUCUCUUGCAGGCUUAACUCCAAGAAGGCGCUUAAAUUGGGAAACCUGUGACAACCAAAUAUGGACAUAACUAUAAGUGCAUGUUUUCGGUGUAUAGCUGCAAAAUUGCAUGAAGAAGUAUGAAACAUCCCACUAAAAGAAAAUGCAACUGUUAGUGAUCAAUAAGUUGCCUUAGUUUCAAAGUUACUAACUCAUUCUUUUUAUAGAAUGUAAUUGUAAAGUCAUAUUUUAGGUGACAUGAGUCAUGACAAUGCAAAAGUUUAGACCUUUACAAGUUAAAUCUUUAGCUAUAUGAUGGUCUCACCGUGAAAUUCGAUAAUUGAGGGUUGAAUGCAGCUUUCCAUCCAGCUUCGGCAUUCUCAUUGACUUGUUUGACGAUCGAGUCCUACAUAAUCAUCCAAAAAUUAAGGUGUCUCAGUUUUAAAUUCGACAUGAGCACAAUGACAUUAACAUCUUCUUGAAUCAUGAAGAAAAGAGCAUACUUGAAGGAUUGCAGAUUCAAGUUUUGCUUCAGUUAUUGGCUUCUCUGCAGCAACCUGCUUUCAAGAAAAAGACAGCAUUACAAAUUUACAAUACUCUUAGCCUGAAUAUUUCUUAUUGACAAAAAUAUGUAUGUAAUACAUCAUAUAACUAAAACACUACAACAUGGGGAAAUUACGACGAAAUAUAAAGCAAGCAGAAGUUGUAACUAGUCAACUAUUUCUUCUCUUUUUCCCCCUUUUGUAUUACUUUAUGAAGCAAUACUUCCUCUCAUGUAGACUCACGUAUAUAUAGAAGACAUAAUAUAUAAAGACUCAUGUAUAUAUAGAAGACAUAAUAUAUAAACAGACACUCAAACACGGUUUCAGCUGACAAGUGAGCACUCCAAUUUGAAAAUGCAUAUUUAGACAACUCAACUUGGUCACAACUGACAUAAGAACACUUCAACUCGUACCCAUAGCGUCUCGUGGACAUCUGACAUGACACAUAAAUUUUGGAGGUGUCCAGAUGAUCAUUUUGUAAGUUUGAGUUUUCAACUAACACAUUGGAGUCGAGUUGAGGUGUACAGAUGUACAUACUCAAAGUUAGAGUGCUUACUUGCCGCGACCAAGUUUGAAAUGUAUGUUUAUGUAUAAACACUAUAUAGGAACAUGUAAGUUAAACUAAUACAUAAAAACAUGUCUUUACUUUCUUUUUUUCCCAUUAUAUAAAUCAGAAAAUCAUUAAAAUCCAUUUAUGUUCAUCAUAUCAAGUCAAAGUUAAACUUAAGCAUAUAAAGUCCAACUUACUUAACAAUCUUUGAUCUUUCUCAAGAAAUAGCAAAAGGCUAUUCCAUUUAAUCAUCAAAAACUAAUAACCAUGACCCCGAUGGUUUAUAACCAUCGAAGUAAGCUCGGCUUACAUCCUAUCUUAUCCUACUUUCCCCUGACUCUACUCACGGAAUCACACUAGUAUGUUGUUGUUUAUGAAAAAUUCAUUCAAUCUAGUUCAAAUGAUUUAUCUAAUCCGAAUAGACUCAAAAUUCUAGCUCCGUCUCUGAUCUAAACAAAACCAACAAUUUAAUAAGUAAGAACAACCCACAAAAGAUAGUACUAUACAACAUGUUUAGGAAAAUUGAAGAAACAAACCUGUAAGAUCAGGAUAAAGAAAGCACCAAAAAGCAAAGGAGUUAUUAAUGACUUCAAAGUCAAGGCCAUGUUUUUUUUUUCUUUCUUUAAAGCUUUCCAAUUGUGUUGUGGAAUUGGUGGAAUCUCAAAGGUAUUUAUAAUAUAAAAAAGAAAAGGAAAAAAAAAACCCCAAUUUUUAUUGGCCCAUUCUCUGACAAUAUAUUAAAUAAAUGCUUUUAUCAAACAAGAAAAUGAUGUCUAGUGUCUACUUGUGGUUGGUUUUAUAAGAUAUUUUGUUGGAUUCAAUAAUUUUUUUCAGUGUUUUACCUUUCCCAAAAGUCUAGUUCAACUUGGUAUGUUAGGUAUUCCACUUGGACUAUUCACAAGCAAUACUGUUCCUAGAUGGAUAGAAAAUAAGUAAUUCACAAAAAUAUGAUAUUUGGUUGAUAAUUUAGAAAUUCGUUAUGUAUUAUAUAAUGCACGAUAGAAGAUGAAAUAAUUUAUAUAUAUAUAUAUAACUAGUCUUUGACUAAUGAAUACCCGUAUAUACAUAAAUUUAUUCAUAAUUAAUUUGUAUAUUACUCAUACCUGCAUAAAUCUAACUAGCUGCCUGACUGUAAAAAAAAAUUCAUUAUACAUUAAAAAUCUUAUAUGUUAAAUAUUAUUAUUUUUGUAGAAUAUUUGAGGUCUACAUGUGAGAUUGCUUGAGGAAACAGACUUUACAUGUGCAACCAGAGUCAAUAUUCAUAUUUCAAUUUAAUUGCAGUAACAAGCUGGAUGAACAAUAAGGCAAGAAUAAGUUUGAAAAUUGGAGUAAUAUUGUUUUAUUGAAGUAUAAUUAAAUUAUUCCAAAUCAAUCAAAUAUCUUGAAAUUGUAAAGGAUAACAUUAGUUUUGGAUUAUGUGACAAAAUCAUAAUAGAAUUUGAUUAAGUCACGUUUCAUCCAAAGCCAAUGAUAUUACAAAGUAAAAUUCAAACUAAUUUUUUGUUUAGAUUUUCUUGUUGUUUACUUUAAUCAGGUGUACAAUUUUCCUCCAUAAAGUAUGUAAAGAAACUACUUAUAUCGUGUCAAAUUUAUUGUCAUAUUUCUUUAAAUUUCUACCAAUAAUUGAAAAUGCUAUUUUUCAUUAAAUUAUCGCCCUUACUUUUCAUUUCUUUUCCCACUAGUAAUGUUCUUUUUUUUCUUUUUCCUCUUUUUUUUUUUUGAUUGAUUGAAAAAGAUCUAAAAAUACAUAUAUAUAUAUAUAUAUAUAUAUAUAUCAUAUUUUUAGAGAAUUAUAGGUAAUUUUAUUUUCUCAAACGCAUCUUGUAUUCUUCUUUAUUUUCUAUAAAAUAAAAUAAUAAAUAAUGAUAGUGAGCAGAAAUAACUCUUUUUAAGUUUAUAGAAGGUGAGCACAUUUUGUCUAAUUUAACAAAUAGAUUCUAUAAAAAGCUAAAUCUUUUUUUAGGAAAAGUUAUUUAUAGAGGGGUUUGCAUAGGUUGUUCCCCUUUCUUUAAAAAGAAAAAAUGGGGGUUGGGAAGGGAAAAUACGGAGGUAAUUAUAUGGUAGAGAAUCGUAUAACUCCAUCAACAACAUAAAAAUUCAUGAAAUUAAUCAGAGAUAUUAAGAUUGUCCUUAUGAAAUGUUAUUGAAUGAACAAUUAUGUUUUUAAAAAUUUUCACAAUAUGACAAAUCUUCAUAUCACUGAAAUCUGACUUAAUCUAGAUUCAAGCAGACAUGACACAAAAAAUAAUUCAUAGUGAAAACUUUGAAAUGUACAUCUAAUUGAAUCCACAAGAUGAAAAUGCAUGCAUUAACAAUUUGUAUAUUAUUAGUAUUAUGUUUCUAAUACAUUCUCCCAGCUUAUGUAUAACUAAUCCAAUGUUUUAUUUGGUAUAAAGCUAGUAUUAACCAAUAUAUAUAUAAAAAAUUCAUAGUAUUAGUAAUUCAAGAGGUUUUAAUGCAUGUAUUAAUAUGAUUAAAGAUACAAAUGUCUCUCAAAACUUUUUCCAUGUCAUUUAUACCAUGUUUGUGGAUGGUAUUGUUGUAUAGAAAUAAUGAUAAAAUCAUAACCAAUACAAUCAUAACUAAUACUAAUACAUCAUAUUCAAUAUAAUUCUUAUGUAUACUACCAAACGACUCCAUAAACUGCAUAGACUUUGGUAGUAGUAUUAUUUAGUCUUGUUGAUGAAGUGACAUUUUACAUUGAUGUAUCAAGGAAAUCAUCAUCAAGUUCCACAUUUAGAUUUCUAGCUGAAGGCAAUCCUGCAACUACAUUAGAUUCAAUGUCACACUCAUUUGUUCCUCUUCUGAUCUUGAAGUACCCAUCCUGGCAUACACACACAAACACACUAAGACAAAAAAAAAAGUAACUUUUUCGCUUGUGUAAAAUUAGGAGUUGAUUUCUCAUAUAGUCACUUAACUAGCCGUUGUUAUCUCAAAAACUCAAUUUCUUUGUUGAAGAAAAUCAGAAUAAAAAAGUAAGUAUUAGUUGAGUGACCAUCUGAGAAAUCAACCAUAUAAACUCAAUAAGGACAUACAUUGCCCCAGCCUUUGUUCCAAGAAUUCACAAGAAGCUGCAUAAAAAAGAAGAUGAUGAUUAACUGCUGAUAAGUUAACAUAAUCUUAAAUGGAUACUUAUAGUUACAACAUACCCAAUAGUCCUCUCCUUCCUCACUAGUUCCCCAUCCGAUGAGCUUAACAGCAUGGCCUCCGAUAUACUCCCCUGUUACGUGCUUGUAAACUCCUGACUUGUAGUGAGCAAAAUCCUGUAUAACCAAGUAACUUAUGUUACUGUUUUGUGCUAAGCAAUCUACGUUGUACCUAAAAGUAUUUCGCCAGUAAAUACGUUCACAGAAUGUACAAAUACCUAUCAUUCUUUACCUCAUAAACAUUUAAAGCAACCUCAACUGGUCCAUUCUUGUAAACUUCUGUCAUGAUACUGUAUGGAUUGGAGCUGAUCAUGUAUGCAUUGACACCAAAAUGCUUGGACUUACUCCAGAGUAGAUUCUCGUUAACACACUUCCUGUUGCACUGUGGGGUGGGAUAUGUAGGUUCACAACCAGGGUGGGAACAUCCAAUAUUAUCGAAGUAAGGGUCACACUGCAAGAACAAGUUUUACAAACUUAUGAGUCGUUGAGCAUAUCCCUCUGAGGUGACUAAGUCGAAAAGAAUAUUAUUUACCUUUUCUGAGACCACACCCUUGCGGAUAAAGUAAUGCCAUGCUGCUAUGGGAGAUCCACCAUCACAGCCAUUGCCACAAUGAAAGCCACAGCAUGCUAUUACAUCAUUUACGGAUAGAGAUAUAUUCUACAUCACACACCAAAAGCAAUCGUCAAAGAUCAUCGUUGAAAUGAAAUGCUGCAAGUGUUCCUUUGAUUAACAUGAAUUUACCAAACCAUAAUGAAUACAGAAACGGUCAGAAAGCGAUUCAACAGCACCAAAAGCCCAACAAGAACCGCAAUGUCCCUGGAAUAUAAAGGAUAAGACUACUAUAGAACCUGGAAAAGGCAUUUAGCAUUUUUAAGAGAGAGACUAAAUAGCAAGCAAGAGCAGUCACCUGAUCUGCAAUGUAAGAUACAGAAAACAUCAGCAUUGUACUGAUCAGAAUAUAGCAUAGAAGGACCAAACAAUAAGAUGAAGAAACUGACCAAGAAUUCUUCCAAUUGUGCUACAUUCAGACCAAGCUGUUCGUGCAUCGAAUUCUUUUGGUAAAUUCUUAAGUUUUGGAUGAGUUAAAAUAGGGAUGCUCUUAAGAUCACCCUCUCUUGGGGGCUUA